UUAAGAACCCCCAUGAAAUUUGGAUCUUCUUUUAUUUCUUUCAUUUUUCUCCUCUUUUAUCAUUUUUAGUUAAAUAACUUUGCCUUUCCUGUUACCUCUUUUUCAUCAUGUUAACCUAUGAGGAAGAAAAUUCAGGCUUCUCGUGCGUCACCACCGUGCCUCCACCAUGCCUUCGCGUGUGUGCCUCCAUUAUGCCUUCACCAUUCUUGUUUGAAGUUCAAGAACAAUUGGUUUAAUCUGUUUUGAGCAAGGUUGUAGAGGAGUUUGACAAGUGAACAAGCCAAGGUGAAAAGGUCCAGUGAAUUUCACCCAGACCGAGAAGAGUAAGGCGUGAAGGAUCCUACAUUUAUGAGGAGUUUAUGCCAACUGGAGAGACAAAUGUUAAGAGUUGUUACU
Long non-coding RNA from Vigna unguiculata (cowpea), 396 nucleotides. NCBI's taxonomy places the organism in Eukaryota, Viridiplantae, Streptophyta, Magnoliopsida, Fabales, Fabaceae. The record is from RefSeq and is a predicted model, not a curated record.